RNAcentral lists this ribosomal RNA (449 nucleotides) under uncultured bacterium. RNAcentral's name for it is "bacterial SSU rRNA". It matches the Rfam family "Bacterial small subunit ribosomal RNA", at positions 329 to 792 of the family's 1533-position model. The record is from RNAcentral.
UCCCAGACUCCUACGGGAGGCAGCAGUGGGGGAUAUUGGACAAUGGGGGGAACCCUGAUCCAGCGACGCCGCGUGAGUGAAGAAGUAUUUCGGUAUGUAAAGCUCUGUCAGCAGGGAAGAAAGAAAUGACGGUACCUGACCAAGAAGCCACGGCUAACUACGUGCCAGCAGCCGCGGUAAUACGUAGGUGGCAAGCGUUGUCCGGAAUUACUGGGUGUAAAGGGAGCGCAGGCGGGAAGCCAAGUCAGCUGUGAAAACUACGGGCUUAACUUGUAGACUGCAGUUGAAACUGGUUUUCUUGAGUGAAGUAGAGGUUGGCGGAAUUCCGAGUGUAGCGGUGAAAUGCGUAGAUAUUCGGAGGAGCACCGGUGGCGAAGGCGGCCAACUGGGCUUUAACUGACGCUGAGGCUCGAAAGUGUGGGGAGCAAACAGGAUUAGAUACCCUAGUA